RNAcentral lists this long non-coding RNA (1020 nucleotides) under Piliocolobus tephrosceles (Ugandan red Colobus). Its description in RNAcentral is "lncRNA (ENSPTEG00000016790.1)". Lineage: Eukaryota; Metazoa; Chordata; Mammalia; Primates; Cercopithecidae. The record is from RNAcentral.
UCAAGCUGAGCAAUAGCUUAGGCGUAUGUAAUUGUUCACAUAUUCAAUUUUUUUUUUUUUCUUUUUUUUUAUUUACAUAGACAUUUGCUUUGCUACUUUACUAACAUACUUUUCCAUCUCUUUGUAUAAUCGGUUUUCGUACUUUCUUUUUUUUUUUUUUUUUACUUAUUACCAAAAUUACAUGCGCAGUAUACCUUUUGACGUUACAAAAAAUGUAUGCGAAAAAAUUAUAUGACGAAAACAAUGAGAAUGACGAAACUAAUCAGAUAAUCACAGAGAAUUAUAAAAAUAUUUUACAUAACAAAAAAAAGGAUUUAGGUUUGUUAACUGCUGAUAUGUUUGGCAAAAAAGAAACAAAACCAAUGACAACACAUGGAACAGGUAAUAUUGUCGAAAACAAUACUAGAUCUACGGUUUCUGGUGAAAGAGUUCUUACAAAUGAAGAAGAGGGGGAAGAAGAAGAAGAAGAAGAAGAAGAGGAGGGGGAUGAUGAAAGUUAUAAAAUAGAUGAGGACGACGUAGAGGAUGAUAGUGAUGAUAAUGAUGAAUAUGACGAUGAAUAUGAUGAUGAACUGAGUCUAAUAAAUUUCAAUUCUUAUAAUAAUUAUUAUUAUGAAAAUGUUAAGGACGAACAUGCCGUUAGUGUUAAUAAUGAUGAACAAAAUGAUUGUAACAAUAACAAUAGUAUUUUAAAAAAACAAAAUAAUAUAUUAUUAGACAGGACAGAGAUAAACGAAAAAAGUCAAGCAACUAAUAAUAUGAUAAAUUUAUUGAAAAGUAAACAACAUGUAAAUGAUGAUAUGAUAUAUCGUAAUAAAUUUAUGCAACAAAAUAAAAAAAUGCAUGAAACGCAUAGUGAUGAAGGCGACUAUGAUAUCGACUUAUUAAAAAACUACAAAUUAAGAAAAGAACAAAGUAAAACUUCACAACAAAAAGAAGGUUGUCUACAAAACGAAACUUAUAAUACAACUGCUAUUAGUGAAGUAGAUGCAAAAUCAUGUUAUAGUUACAAAAGUGAAA